Molecule: ribosomal RNA, 500 nt
Filed under: uncultured bacterium
Lineage: Bacteria
Description: partial 16S ribosomal RNA
Rfam family: Bacterial small subunit ribosomal RNA
Source: RNAcentral
AUUGAACGCUGGCGGCAUGCCUUACACAUGCAAGUCGAACGGCAGCACGGGAGCAAUCCUGGUGGCGAGUGGCGAACGGGUGAGUAAAGUAUCGGAACGUGCCCAGUCGUGGGGGAUAACGUAGCGAAAGUUACGCUAAUACCGCAUACGAUCUAUGGAUGAAAGCGGGGGAUCGCAAGACCUCGCGCGAUUGGAGCGGCCGAUAUCAGAUUAGGUAGUUGGUGGGGUAAAGGCUCACCAAGCCGACGAUCUGUAGCUGGUCUGAGAGGACGACCAGCCACACUGGGACUGAGACACGGCCCAGACUCCUACGGGAGGCAGCAGUGGGGAAUUUUGGACAAUGGGCGAAAGCCUGAUCCAGCCAUGCCGCGUGCAGGAUGAAGGCCUUCGGGUUGUAAACUGCUUUUGUACGGAACGAAAAGGUUUGGGCUAAUAAGCUGAGCUCAUGACGGUACCGUAAGAAUAAGCACCGGCUAACUACGUGCCAGCAGCCGCCGUAA